CCACAGUCUCUCCUCAUGAAAGAGAUGCUCCAGAUCCCAAAUCACCUUUGUGGCCUCCACUGGACCCUCUCCAGCAGGUCUUUCUCUUUCUUG
Corvus hawaiiensis (hawaiian crow) is the source of this 93-nucleotide long non-coding RNA. RefSeq lists it as uncharacterized. The transcript has 3 exons. The record is from RefSeq and is a predicted model, not a curated record. Lineage: Eukaryota; Metazoa; Chordata; Aves; Passeriformes; Corvidae.